RNAcentral lists this long non-coding RNA (344 nucleotides) under Cercocebus atys (sooty mangabey). Its description in RNAcentral is "lncRNA (ENSCATG00000045646.1)". The record is from RNAcentral. Lineage: Eukaryota; Metazoa; Chordata; Mammalia; Primates; Cercopithecidae.
UCUCUCAGAGCCCAGAUCUGUUCCUUUCUUCUUAAUUAUCCAUGUGCUCAAUUCUCUCCCACAGGAGCUGAAGAAUUCACAUUUGGGCUGAUGGGCCUGGGGUAGGGAAGACCAACAGACCACAUGCUUCUUGUCUCUUCUACUCCCUGAUCCUGUGAUAGGCAGGGCUAAGUGAUCGUCCGCUCCUCUCACCCUCCAGCCUCCAAGUGGGCCACUUUUCAAGCAUGGAAUUCUAGGAGGUGUUAACACUGGACGAGCGGGCAACUGGCUCUUCAGGCUUGGAACCAACAGGGGGCAGCAGAGAGCAGAGAAGAAUUGGUAGGCUAGGAAAACUUCCAAACUUC